UUGCGGACAUAUCUCGUUGAAACACCGGUUUUCGUACGAUCACCGAAGUUAAGCAACGUUGAGCCUGGUCAGUACAUAAAUAGGUAUCCACCUGGGAAUACCAGAUGAUGUAGG
Molecule: non-coding RNA, 114 nt
Organism: Acanthosepion pharaonis
Lineage: Eukaryota; Metazoa; Mollusca; Cephalopoda; Sepiida; Sepiidae
Source: the annotation of a GenBank genome assembly